Long non-coding RNA from Varanus komodoensis (Komodo dragon), 2835 nucleotides. RefSeq lists it as uncharacterized. The transcript is spliced from 4 exons. The record is from RefSeq and is a predicted model, not a curated record. NCBI's taxonomy places the organism in Eukaryota, Metazoa, Chordata, Lepidosauria, Squamata, Varanidae.
AUUUCCUGAGCUCUGAAAAGAAACAGAAGAGAAAUGAGGAAAAUGGGAGGAGAAUUUUCUGGCAACAUUACAAGAUGCCAUGAAAAAAAUUAGUCUUCCAAAUUUCCUAUGUGGAAAGAUACUUGCAUGUGGAUGGCCAUCUGAGAAAAGAAAAAAUAGCAAUAAGUAAUGAUGUCACUCAAGUUCUUAAUUAUCCAGUUUGGAAUGCAAAGAACAUUAUAUGAUCUACAGUUGAGGCCUUCCACUGAGUACCCACAAGGUUUGCCUUUUGAGUGGUGUCCCCCAAUUAUGGAAUGUUGUCUCCACUGAAGCCCACCCCGCAUCAACAUUACCAUCUUUUCAUCACUGAGAGACUGCCUGAGCACCGGAAGGGCUUUUGAGUACUGGGCAAUGCUGAAGGCAAAAGAGGCAGAGCCAGAGGGGCCAGAGGUACUGUGUUUACUGCCACUAACUGAGGGGCAUUUCACCGUUUUAUAAUGGGGUGGGGGGAAUGUACAAAAGCCAGGAAACUACCAAGUAUUUGAAGGAAGAGGGGAAUGCGCCUUCAUAAAGGGGUUGUGUGUGAUCCUCUGGAGAAAUCAAGGGCAUCUGAUUGGAGGUUGUGCAGAGCUGUUUUCAAUAAUAGGAAAAAAUAUGACAAUUCACAAAACAACAAAUUUUAUACACUUGUUGGUCCUAACACUUCUCUCUUUCUCGGCAUACAAAGUGAUUUAGGGCACAGUGCUAAACAUAAUGCUAAAUGUUGUAAGCCAUCCUGAGAUUGUUGUAAAGGACGGCAUAUAAAUGUUUUAAAUAAAUAAUUAAAAUAAUCACACAGGGAAAAGGUCUGCGACUCUCAGCAUGUCCCAGCCAGCCUACUGAUUGAGGCAUGUUGGGAAAUGUAUGGUCAAUCAGGGAAAGGAUUGUGCUGGCAACUAGCCUUCAGGAUACACAAAAGUCCAGAAAAUGUGUUCAUUCAAUACUUAAUUAUUAAGUUUCUUUAUCAUAUCAGGUGAAGAAGGCCAGGAGAACUGAUGCCUUUAAAUUAGGAUUAGAUAGCUUUCUGAAGGAUAGUAUCAUCAAAGGUUUGUGAUCAUCUUACUUAAAAAAUGAAGCUACUCAUGGGCUCAGUGAAAAUCUCAAUCAACCACCAUGAGAUGAUUCCAUUCUUUGAGAUGAUGCAAAAAUCAGUACUUAUUCAAAGCAAGUGAGAACUCACUUCCACACUCCAGAAACUUCAACAUUUUAAAAUAUAAAGAAUGGGAAGGGAUUAUGUUCUAUAGUUCAUUUAAAAAGUCAUGACCAGUGUCCCUCUGUGACCAUCUGAUCAAAUAAGGCAAGCAACUUUCAUAUAAUAUAAAAUAAAAUUCAAUUUUAAAUCUAUAUUAAUUCAUGAACUCACCACUAUGUUUGCCACCCCAAGUUGAUUGGCACAAACGUCGUUUCAUGCUGACCUUUUAACUAAAGGGUUCAAUGCAUAUCAAUAUCAGAAGUAAAUCCAUUCUUUAGACACUGUUGGAAGGUCAUUCCCAAAUAAUUUAUGCCACAAUCUGAGCAUAUUGUUAAUAAUACAUAAGACCAUGUCAGUAUCAAUUGAAAAAGUCAAAUGACACAGAUUUCAGCAUGGAUAAAUGGCCAUGUGAAUUGGUUUUGGUUCAUAUUCUGUCAUGACAGCCUCAUACACCUUACUUGAAAAUAAAUGGAAGUCUCACAGAUUGAUUUCAGGUUUCAGCUAGUCUCAAAUAAAUGUUCAUAGUUUCCCCUGUCAGAGUAUGCCUCAUGUUGACAUGGGCACUGCCUGAGCGAAAACUUGAUUUGCUCUAACAUACUGACCCAUACAUUGGCUUUGUUUCUCUGUAUCAAUUCUAAAAUCCUAAGCUUUUAAACUUUUUAAAAAGAUAAAAUGCAAGCUGGUGUAACUAACUUGAGUUGAACAAAAUUUUUAAUUUCAGAAAUCAAAGGUCCAGUUUUUUAAAUCUAAUUUCCAUUAUAUGCUGUCAAUUCAGAGGUAAGAUCUAAAUGUUAGCAUUUCUGUUGCCAGUAAAGGGAUCUUAAUGUUGCAGUCUAAACAUUUCAUCUACCUCUCCAUAUUUCUAUUCCCACUAUUCAGUUCUAACAUCUCACAGUCCAUUGACUUCCAUCAACAGCACUUUAGGUCAAUCAGGGAAUUCAUCCACAUGGAGAGAAUUCUGUAUGCUUCAGAUCUGAGAGUUCAGUUCAACAGCAGCCUUGUGCUAACCAGGGGUGAGUCUAUCUGCAUUUUCUCAUGCAUUUGGGUUUCACAGGUAUUCAGCACCUGAACAGACAUAUAGUGGUUCUGUGAAAGAUGCGCUUGAGAUGAGGGGAACUUUGAGCAGGUAAUAAACAGAGAGUAAAGCAUGCUAGCAGAGGCAAACAUUCUAUUCAGCAUCACUUCAUUGUUCAGUUAUUAACAAAUGUUGGCAAGAUAUCCACAAAUAUUAGGCAUAUCACUUUCAUAUUGAGGGUUGAGCAUGGGCUUCCUUUCCAGUUAAGGUCACUCAAGGAGGCAUAAACCAAUUUUGUUCCAAUUCAGAUUGUAGUCACGGACUAUAAAUAUGUUGUUUAUUCAUGAAAUUAUUAUAUUGUAUUCAGCAACUACUUUUAAAGUGGCACACAAUACGGUAAUUUAAAUCUUAAUAAGGACAACCAGAGUCUUGUGACACCUUGAGCUCUAGCCCUUUAGCCUAAGUCUUCAUUCGUACUUUCCCCAAAACUCUUUGUGGCUUGUGCUGCAACGAACUAACACUGCUAUUCCUAAAAUAGUAUUGAAACAACAGUAAAACUUAAAGCGAACAAGAGUUGGAUCCAGAAUCUGCCUUCUGUGAGAGGAUGCAC